RNAcentral lists this long non-coding RNA (620 nucleotides) under Felis catus (domestic cat). Its description in RNAcentral is "lncRNA (ENSFCAG00000046924.1)". Lineage: Eukaryota; Metazoa; Chordata; Mammalia; Carnivora; Felidae. The record is from RNAcentral.
AGAAAGCAGAAGUGGGGAGUAAGGGGCAAAUUAACCUGCGGACCUGACACCUGUAGUAAAGGUCAGGGGCUGCAGUUCAGACUUGGGAAGCUUCCGUGUCAAGCAGGAGGGGCCUUCCAGGGGGCUCGUCUUUGGUUCCCCAGAAGGGAGUCCAGUACCUGACAAACCACUGCCCGGACUGCGGAAACUGGGUGACUGCCGCUCAGGUCGAUGACCUACUGUUGGUGCUGACAUACUUCUUCAUCAACGGCUCGGGGACCUGGGGAAGGUUGUUGGAGAGUCCACGGGUAUAAAAGGAAGUCCCUGAACGCAGACUCCCUCGGGACCCUGCCUCCACCUCCAGCCGCAGGGAAGAGGGACCCCACGCUUCAGAGGGCGCCUGUCUCUGCAGGAAAGGAAGCCGCCCUAGGACUAUUUCCCAUGAGCAGUGCCUUUGUGAACCCCGGAGCAACGUGCUCUUCCUGCCUGUCCCUGACCAACUCAACAGCAUCGUGGCAUGUUUCCCUUUCUAUCCUAAACUAGAGAAUCCCCAUGGAAUCUGUAGUGAGCCCAAACGACAUAAAGUGAAGAAGCAGUUACCACUAAUUUCCAUGGAAAAAUUUUUGAGUGUUCCCAGGUCC